RNAcentral lists this ribosomal RNA (498 nucleotides) under uncultured bacterium. Its description in RNAcentral is "partial 16S ribosomal RNA". It matches the Rfam family "Bacterial small subunit ribosomal RNA", at positions 30 to 523 of the family's 1533-position model. The record is from RNAcentral.
AUUGAACGCUGGCGGCAUGCCUUACACAUGCAAGUCGAACGGUAACAGGUCUUCGGAUGCUGACGAGUGGCGAACGGGUGAGUAAUACAUCGGAACGUGCCUAGUAGUGGGGGAUAACUACUCGAAAGAGUGGCUAAUACCGCAUGAGAUCUACGGAUGAAAGCAGGGGAUCGCAAGACCUUGUGCUACUAGAGCGGCCGAUGGCAGAUUAGGUAGUUGGUGGGAUAAAAGCUUACCAAGCCGACGAUCUGUAGCUGGUCUGAGAGGACGAUCAGCCACGCUGGGACGGAGACACGGCCCAGACUCCUACGGGAGGCAGCAGUGGGGAAUGUUGGACGAUGGGCGAAAGCCUGAUCCAGCAAUGCCGCGUGAAGGAUGAAGGCCUUCGGGUUAUAAACUGCUUUUGUACGGAACGAAAAGCCCCGGGUUAAUACCCUGGGGUCAUGACGGUACCGUAAGAAUAAGCACCGGCUAACUACGUGCCAGCAGCCGCCGUAA